Molecule: non-coding RNA, 83 nt
Organism: Paramuricea clavata
Lineage: Eukaryota; Metazoa; Cnidaria; Anthozoa; Malacalcyonacea; Plexauridae
Source: the annotation of a GenBank genome assembly
GACCGCGGAGCUCAGUUGGCAGAGCAUUGCCAUUGGGCUAGUAUUCCAACGGUCGUAGGUUCGAUUCCCAGUAACCAUGGUCA